This 423-nucleotide ribosomal RNA is filed under the name Dioscorea belophylla. RNAcentral describes it as "eukaryotic LSU rRNA". The stretch from base 261 to 423 matches the Rfam family "Eukaryotic large subunit ribosomal RNA", at positions 1 to 163 of the family's 3401-position model. Lineage: Eukaryota; Viridiplantae; Streptophyta; Magnoliopsida; Dioscoreales; Dioscoreaceae. The record is from RNAcentral.
GUUGCGCCCGAAGCCAUUAGGCUGAGGGCAUGCCUGCCUGGGUGUCACACAUCGUCAACCGGGAAAGUGUCUCCUCUCGGAGAUAGCGCGUGGUUUGUAGGCUGACCUCCCGCGCGCGUCUCACGGUUGGUUGAAAAUUGGGCUCACGGUCGGGCGUGCCGUGGCAUACAAUGGUGGACGGGCGAUGCCCGAGACCAGCCACUCGCCGUCCGGUCCGGUUUGGCCCAGGGCCCCUGCGGCGUCCUCGGAUGCUCCUAGCGAGACCUCAGGUCAGGCGGGGCUACCCGCUGAGUUUAAGCAUAUCAAUAAGCGGAGGAAAAGAAACUAACAAGGAUUCCCUUAGUAACGGCGAGCGAACCGGGAAUAGCCCACUGUGAAAAUCGGUCGUGUUGUGCGUCCGAAUUGUAGUCUGGAGAAGCGUCA